CGUGUAGGCGGGAAUACAAGUCAGAUGUGAAAUACUGCGGCUCAACUGCAGAACGGCAUCUGAAACUGUAUUUCUUGAGUACUGGAGAGGAAAGCGGAAUUCCUAGUGUAGCGGUGAAAUGCGUAGAUAUUAGGAGGGACACCGGUGGCGAAGGCGGCUUUCUGGACAGUAACUGACGCUGAGACGCGAAAGCGUGGGGAGCAAACAGGAUUAGAUACCCUGGUAGUCC
Molecule: ribosomal RNA, 229 nt
Filed under: uncultured bacterium
Lineage: Bacteria
Description: partial 16S ribosomal RNA
Rfam family: Bacterial small subunit ribosomal RNA
Source: RNAcentral